GACGAACCGUGCAAACGUUGUUCGGAAUCACUGGGCUUAAAGGGCGCGUAGGCGGGUUCCCAAGUCGGUGGUGAAAUCUUUCAGCUCAACUGGAAAAGUGCCGCCGAUACUGGGAGUCUUGAGGGAGGUAGGGGUCGGGGGAACUAAUGGUGGAGCGGUGAAAUGCGUAGAUAUCAUUAGGAACGCCGGUGGCGAAAGCGCCCGACUGGACCUCUUCUGACGCUGAGGCGCGAAAGCCAGGGGAGCAAACGGG
RNAcentral lists this ribosomal RNA (253 nucleotides) under uncultured bacterium. RNAcentral's name for it is "partial 16S ribosomal RNA". It matches the Rfam family "Bacterial small subunit ribosomal RNA", at positions 524 to 776 of the family's 1533-position model. The record is from RNAcentral.